UGCCGGCUCUCCAAAGGCCGGGGUCACUGAAGAGGCGACUACUUCCUUGCCGGACGUGCGGACGGUUUCCCCCGUUCCAAUCCAUGGCUCCCGGAGCGACGUGAUCGCGACUUCUCGCGCUCGUGUUUCAUCCGGAUC
Methylobrevis pamukkalensis is the source of this 138-nucleotide regulatory RNA element. It matches the Rfam family "speF leader". Rfam says of the family: This family is a putative regulatory RNA structure that is found upstream of the speF gene encoding ornithine decarboxylase in Agrobacterium tumefaciens and other alpha-proteobacteria. Lineage: Bacteria; Pseudomonadati; Pseudomonadota; Alphaproteobacteria; Hyphomicrobiales; Pleomorphomonadaceae. The record is from Rfam.